AUUGAACGCUGGCGGCAUGCUUUACACAUGCAAGUCGGACGGCAGCACAGAGAAGCUUGCUUCUUGGGUGGCGAGUGGCGAACGGGUGAGUAACAUAUCGGAACGUACCGAGCAGUGGGGGAUAACUAAUCGAAAGAUUAGCUAAUACCGCAUAUCUUCUGAGGAAGAAAGCAGGGGACCAUUUGGCCUUGCGCUGUUUGAGCGGCCGAUAUCUGAUUAGCUAGUUGGUGGGGUAAAGGCCUACCAAGGCGACGAUCAGUAGCGGGUCUGAGAGGAUGAUCCGCCACACUGGGACUGAGACACGGCCCAGACUCCUACGGGAGGCAGCAGUGGGGAAUUUUGGACAAUGGGCGCAAGCCUGAUCCAGCCAUGCCGCGUGUCUGAAGAAGGCCUUCGGGCUGUAAAGGACUUUUGUCAGGGAAGAAAAGGGCGGGGUUAAUACCCCUGUCUGAUGACGGUACCUGAAGAAUAAGCACCGGCUAACUACGUG
This 490-nucleotide ribosomal RNA is filed under the name uncultured bacterium. RNAcentral's name for it is "partial 16S ribosomal RNA". It matches the Rfam family "Bacterial small subunit ribosomal RNA", at positions 30 to 507 of the family's 1533-position model. The record is from RNAcentral.